AGUUUGAUCCUGGCUCAGGAUGAACGCUAGCUACAGGCUUAACACAUGCAAGUCGAGGGGCAGCAUGAACUUAGCUUGCUAAGUUUGAUGGCGACCGGCGCACGGGUGAGUAACACGUAUCCAACCUGCCGAUGACUCGGGGAUAGCCUUUCGAAAGAAAGAUUAAUACCCGAUGGCAUAGUUCUUCCGCAUGGUGGAACUAUUAAAGAAUUUCGGUCAUCGAUGGGGAUGCGUUCCAUUAGGUUGUUGGCGGGGUAACGGCCCACCAAGCCUUCGAUGGAUAGGGGUUCUGAGAGGAAGGUCCCCCACAUUGGAACUGAGACACGGUCCAAACUCCUACGGGAGGCAGCAGUGAGGAAUAUUGGUCAAUGGACGAGAGUCUGAACCAGCCAAGUAGCGUGAAGGAUGACUGCCCCAUGGGUUGUAAACUUCUUUUAUACGGGAAUAAAGUGAGGCACGUGUGCCUUUUUGUGUGUACCGUAUGAAUAAGGAUCGGCUAACUCCGUGCCAGCAGCCGCGGUAAUACGGAGGAUCCGAGCGUUAUCCGGAUUUAUUGGGUUUAAAGGGAGCGUAGGCGGACGCUUAAGUCAGUUGUGAAAGUUUGCGGCUCAACCGUAAAAUUGCAGUUGAUACUGGGUGUCUUGAGUACAGUAGAGGCAGGCGGAAUUCGUGGUGUAGCGGUGAAAUGCUUAGAUAUCACGAAGAACUCCGAUUGCGAAGGCAGCUUGCUGGACUGUAACUGACGCUGAUGCUCGAAAGUGUGGGUAUCAAACAGGAUUAGAUACCCUGGUAGUCCACACAGUAAACGAUGAAUACUCGCUGUUUGCGAUAUACAGUAAGCGGCCAAGCGAAAGCGUUAAGUAUUCCACCUGGGGAGUACGCCGGCAACGGUGAAACUCAAAGGAAUUGACGGGGGCCCGCACAAGCGGAGGAACAUGUGGUUUAAUUCGAUGAUACGCAAGGAACCUUACCCGGGCUUGAAUUGCAACUGAAUGAUGUGGAGACAUGUCAGCCGCAGGGCAGUUGUGAAGGUGCUGCAUGGUUGUCGUCAGCUCGUGCCGUGAGGUGUCGGCUUAAGUGCCAUAACGAGCGCAACCCUUAUCGAUAGUUACCAUCAGGUUAUGCUGGGGACUCUGUCGAGACUGCCGUCGUAAGAUGUGAGGAAGGUGGAAGGGCNAAUUCCAGCACACU
This 1191-nucleotide ribosomal RNA is filed under the name uncultured Bacteroides sp. Its description in RNAcentral is "bacterial SSU rRNA". It matches the Rfam family "Bacterial small subunit ribosomal RNA", at positions 10 to 1195 of the family's 1533-position model. The record is from RNAcentral. Lineage: Bacteria; Pseudomonadati; Bacteroidota; Bacteroidia; Bacteroidales; Bacteroidaceae.